Molecule: ribosomal RNA, 253 nt
Filed under: uncultured bacterium
Lineage: Bacteria
Description: partial 16S ribosomal RNA
Rfam family: Bacterial small subunit ribosomal RNA
Source: RNAcentral
UACGGAGGGGGCUAGCGUUGUUCGGAGUUACAGGGCGUAAAGCGCACGUAGGUGGAUUGCUAAGUCAGGGGUGAAAUCCCGAGGCUCAACCUCGGAACUGCCUUUGAUACUGGCAAUCUCGAGUCCGGGAGAGGUGAGUGGAAUUCCUAGUGUAGAGGUGAAAUUCGUAGAUAUUAGGAAGAACACCAGUGGCGAAGGCGGCUCACUGGCCCGGUACUGCCACUGAGGUGCGACAGCGUGUGGAGCAAAUAGG